GAAGAGAUGCUGUGCAUGACUAUGGCAUAGCUUUCUCCCCAACGAAUUAGGCUAAUAAAGUAAUGAUUAAAAAAACAAAAAUGCUAGAUCAAGGGCCUGGGUCGGCCCGAGGAUAGCGGCGGAAAAAUAUCGGCCCGACC
Etheostoma cragini (Arkansas darter) is the source of this 140-nucleotide long non-coding RNA. RefSeq lists it as uncharacterized. Lineage: Eukaryota; Metazoa; Chordata; Actinopteri; Perciformes; Percidae. The transcript is spliced from 4 exons. The record is from RefSeq and is a predicted model, not a curated record.